UGGAGGUGUGAGAAAGUUAUGCAGCUUCAUGCAGUGUUGCUAUAACUGGUUAUAACCUCCGAUAUUAAUGUGAAGAGCUCGGGUGCUGUAAUGACUCCUGUUUACUGCAGUGAGCCUCUACAGUGC
This is a small nucleolar RNA of Ictalurus furcatus (blue catfish), 126 nucleotides long. RefSeq annotates it as small nucleolar RNA SNORA47. The transcript has a single exon. NCBI's taxonomy places the organism in Eukaryota, Metazoa, Chordata, Actinopteri, Siluriformes, Ictaluridae. The record is from RefSeq and is a predicted model, not a curated record.